UUUUAUGGAGAGUUUGAUCCUGGCUCAGGAUGAACGCUGGCGGCGUGCCUAAUACAUGCAAGUCGAGCGAACGGAUGAGAAGCUUGCUUCUCUGAUGUUAGCGGCGGACGGGUGAGUAACACGUGGAUAACCUACCUAUAAGACUGGGAUAACUUCGGGAAACCGGAGCUAAUACCGGAUAAUAUUUUGAGCCGCAUGGUUCAAAAGUGAAAGACGGUCUUGCUGUCACUUAUAGAUGGAUCCGCGCUGCAUUAGCUAGUUGGUAAGGUAACGGCUUACCAAGGCAACGAUGCAUAGCCGACCUGAGAGGGUGAUCGGCCACACUGGAACUGAGACACGGUCCAGACUCCUACGGGAGGCAGCAGUAGGGAAUCUUC
This 377-nucleotide ribosomal RNA is filed under the name Staphylococcus aureus MUM270. RNAcentral describes it as "bacterial SSU rRNA". It matches the Rfam family "Bacterial small subunit ribosomal RNA", at positions 1 to 366 of the family's 1533-position model. The record is from RNAcentral. Lineage: Bacteria; Bacillati; Bacillota; Bacilli; Caryophanales; Staphylococcaceae.